This 267-nucleotide ribosomal RNA is filed under the name uncultured bacterium. RNAcentral describes it as "partial 16S ribosomal RNA". It matches the Rfam family "Bacterial small subunit ribosomal RNA", at positions 965 to 1227 of the family's 1533-position model. The record is from RNAcentral.
AGAACCUUACCAGCCCUUGACAUGGGGAGUAUGGUCUUUGGAGACGAAGACCUUCAGUUCGGCUGGCUCCCGCACAGGUGCUGCAUGGCUGUCGUCAGCUCGUGUCGUGAGAUGUUGGGUUAAGUCCCGCAACGAGCGCAACCCUUGUUCUCAGUUGCCAUCGGGUAGGGCCGGGCACUCUGAGGAGACUGCCGGUGACAAGCCGGAGGAAGGCGGGGAUGACGUCAAGUCCUCAUGGCCCUUAUGGGCUGGGCUACACACGUGCUA